RNAcentral lists this ribosomal RNA (460 nucleotides) under uncultured marine microorganism. Its description in RNAcentral is "bacterial SSU rRNA". It matches the Rfam family "Bacterial small subunit ribosomal RNA", at positions 355 to 830 of the family's 1533-position model. The record is from RNAcentral.
UGGGGAAUUUUCCGCAAUGGGCGAAAGCCUGACGGAGCAAUACCGCGUGAGGGAGGAAUGCCUUUGGGUUGUAAACCUCUUUUCUCAGGGAAGAAGAUCUGACGGUACCUGAGGAAUAAGUAUCGGCUAACUCCGUGCCAGCAGCCGCGGUAAUAUGGAGGAUGCAAGCGUUAUCCGGAAUCAUUGGGCGUAAAGCGUCCGCAGGUGGUUUCCAAAGUCUGCUGUUAAAGACUGGAGCUCAACUCCGGAACGGCGGUGGAAACUUGGAAACUAGAGUUCGGUAGGGGUAGCAGGAAUUCCCAGUGUAGCGGUGAAAUGCGUAGAUAUUGGGAGGAACAUCGGUGGCGAAGGCGUGCUACUGGACCGUAACUGACACUCAGGGACGAAAGCUAGGGGAGCGAAAGGGAUUAGAUACCCCUGUAGUCCUAGCUGUAAACGAUGGAAACUAGGUGUGGCUUGA